GACGAACGCUGGCGGCGUGCUUAACACAUGCAAGUCGAACGGAAAGGCCCUGCUUUUGUGGGGUGCUCGAGUGGCGAACGGGUGAGUAACACGUGAGUAACCUGCCCUUGACUUUGGGAUAACUUCAGGAAACUGGGGCUAAUACCGGAUAGGAGCUCCUGCUGCAUGGUGGGGGUUGGAAAGUUUCGGCGGUUGGGGAUGGACUCGCGGCUUAUCAUCUUGUUGGUGGGGUAGUGGCUUACCAAGGCUUUGACGGGUAGCCGGCCUGAGAGGGUGACCGGCCACAUUGGGACUGAGGUACGGCCCAGACUCCUACGGGAGGCAGCAGUGGGGAAUAUUGCACAAUGGGCGGAAGCCUGAUGCAGCAACGCCGCGUGCGGGAUGACGGCCUUCGGGUUGUAAACCGCUUUCGCCUGUGACGAAGCGUGAGUGACGGUAAUGGGUAAAGAAGCACCGGCUAACUACGUG
This 468-nucleotide ribosomal RNA is filed under the name uncultured bacterium. RNAcentral's name for it is "partial 16S ribosomal RNA". It matches the Rfam family "Bacterial small subunit ribosomal RNA", at positions 28 to 507 of the family's 1533-position model. The record is from RNAcentral.